This 72-nucleotide transfer RNA is filed under the name Trichonephila inaurata madagascariensis. It matches the Rfam family "tRNA". From Rfam's summary of the family: Transfer RNA (tRNA) molecules are approximately 80 nucleotides in length. Lineage: Eukaryota; Metazoa; Arthropoda; Arachnida; Araneae; Nephilidae. The record is from Rfam by way of RNAcentral.
AGCAAAGUGGCCCAGUGGCAGCGUGCUGGGACCAUAACCCAGAGGUCCGUGGAUCGAAGCUAUGCUCUGCUA